UGGGCGGAAGGCUUACCUGCAAGUCGAGCGGAGCGAGGGUGCUUGCACCUUAGCUUAGCGGCGGACGGGUGAGUAAUGCUUAGGAAUCUGCCUAUUAGUGGGGGACAACAUUCCGAAAGGAAUGCUAAUACCGCAUACGCCCUACGGGGGAAAGCAGGGGAUCUUCGGACCUUGCGCUAAUAGAUGAGCCUAAGUCAGAUUAGCUAGUUGGUGGGGUAAAGGCCUACCAAGGCGACGAUCUGUAGCGGGUCUGAGAGGAUGAUCCGCCACACUGGGACUGAGACACGGCCCAGACUCCUACGGGAGGCAGCAGUGGGGAAUAUUGGACAAUGGGCGCAAGCCUGAUCCAGCCAUGCCGCGUGUGUGAAGAAGGCCUUUUGGUUGUAAAGCACUUUAAGCGAGGAGGAGGCUACUUGGACUAAUACUCUAGGAUAGUGGACGUUACUCGCAGAAUAAGCACCGGCUAACUCUGUGCCAGCAGCCGCGGUAAUACAGAGGGUGCGAGCGUUAAUCGGAUUUACUGGGCGUAAAGCGUGCGUAGGCGGCUUUUUAAGUCGGAUGUGAAAUCCCUGAGCUUAACUUAGGAAUUGCAUUCGAUACUGGGAAGCUAGAGUAUGGGAGAGGAUGGUAGAAUUCCAGGUGUAGCGGUGAAAUGCGUAGAGAUCUGGAGGAAUACCGAUGGCGAAGGCAGCCAUCUGGCCUAAUACUGACGCUGAGGUACGAAAGCAUGGGGAGCAAACAGGAUUAGAUACCCUGGUAGUCCAUGCCGUAACGAUGUCUACUAGCCGUUGGGGCCUUUGAGGCUUUAGUGCGCAGCUACGCGAUAGUAGACGCUGGGAGUACGUCGCAGACUAAAACUCAAUGAUUGACGGGGGCCCGCACAGCGGUGGAGCAUGUGGUUUAAUUCGAUGCAACGCGAAGAACCUUACCUGGUCUUGACAUAGUAAGAACUUUCCAGAGAUGGAUUGGUGCCUUCGGGAACUUACAUACAGGUGCUGCGAUGGCCGUGUUCAAGCUCGUGUCGUGAGAUGUUGGGUUAAGUCCCGCAACGAGCGCAACCCUUUUCCUUAUUUGCCAGCGGGUUAAGCCGGGAACUUUAAGGAUACUGCCAGUGACAAACUGGAGGAAGGCGGGGACGACGUCAAGUCAUCAUGGCCCUUACGACCAGGGCUACACACGUGCUACAAUGGUCGGUACAAAGGGUUGCUACCUAGCGAUAGGAUGCUAAUCUCAAAAAGCCGAUCGUAGUCCGGAUUGGAGUCUGCAACUCGACUCCAUGAAGUCGGAAUCGCUAGUAAUCGCGGAUCAGAAUGCCGCGGUGAAUACGUUCCCGGGCCUUGUACACACCGCCCGUCACACCAUGGGAAUUUGUUGCACCAGAAGUAGGUAGUCUAACCGCAAGGAGGACGCUACCACGGUUC
RNAcentral lists this ribosomal RNA (1421 nucleotides) under bacterium 28S523. RNAcentral describes it as "bacterial SSU rRNA". It matches the Rfam family "Bacterial small subunit ribosomal RNA". The record is from RNAcentral.